AGUGAACGCUGGCGGCAGGCCUAACACAUGCAAGUCGAACGGCAGCACAGUAAGAGUUUGCUCUUACGGGUGGCGAGUGGCGGACGGGUGAGGAAUAUAUCGGAAUCUACACUUUCGUGGGGGAUAACGUAGGGAAACUUACGCUAAUACAGCAUACGCCCUACGGGUGAAAGCAGGGGAUAUUUGGACCUUGCGCGAUUGAAUGAGCCGAUGUCGGAUUAGCUAGUUGGCGGGGUAAAGGCCCACCAAGGGGACGAUCCGUAGCAGGUGUGAGAGGAUGGUCAGCGACACUGGAACGGAAACACGGACCAUACUCCUAAGGGAGGCAGCAGUGUGCAACAUUGGACAAUGGGCGCAAGCCUGAUCCAACCAUACCGCGUGAGUUAAGAAGGCGUUCGGGUUGUAAUGCCCUUUUGUUGGUAAAAAAAAGCAUCGGCUUGAGACCCCGCUGUUCUGACGGUACCCAAAGAAGAAGCACCGGCUAACUUCGUG
Molecule: ribosomal RNA, 492 nt
Filed under: uncultured bacterium
Lineage: Bacteria
Description: partial 16S ribosomal RNA
Rfam family: Bacterial small subunit ribosomal RNA
Source: RNAcentral